ACAGAGUAUUUUCAAAAUUUCAAAUAAUAUUUGAGCGAAUGUUGAUUCUUCUAGAGAUUCUGCCUGUCUUGUCCUGUCGAUUCAUUGUACAUUGUCCUUCCGUAAAUAAUUAUUUAAAAUUUAAUGUUUGUGUUUGCUAACAAACUUAACAAAUAAUCGCGCCAAAAAGUUGUAUUUAUGUUUAUUAUGUGGUUUAAUAAAUUUUAUGAUUCAAGCAGAUAUAGCUUACGUACUUCAGAAAAGUAGAAGAUUCAAGUAAUGGGUUUGAUCUAUGGAGAGUUUAAAGUACAUGAAUAUGGAUUUUAAGCUAUGCCGAACCUGUGGAAAAGCUGGUAUUAAUUUCAUAAAUAUAUUUAGAACUGAAGGUCUGAAAACUAAGCUUGAAACUUGUCUUUCCAUUGUUGUCUCAGAGCAUAGCCUUCUACCACAUUUCAUAUGUCCAGAAUGUCUUUCAUCUAUAGAAAACUUUUAUGUUUUUAAAAAGUGCUGUCUUCAAAACAUCAUUAUCUUAGAAAACCACUUUAACACAGUGGAUUCCUGUCUCAAAACCAAACAAAGGCAAGAAAAAAGCUGCCAAGUUUCAUUGCCAGAAAUUAAAGAAAUAUCAACUCAAACAGAAAAUGUUCUAGUAAAAGUCUGUCACUCAGGCGGAAAUAAUUUUCAGUUAAUGGAUCAAAUUGUAACUUACAAUGGAAAAUCGUCAAACGGUUUGGUAAAUUAUAGUGGUGUUGAUUCUGAAAGUUCAGGUUCAGAAAACCCAAACGAUACGCGCUCAAACAUUGAUCAAGUAACCGAUAGUAAAAAAUUAACAAAAUUCCAAUUAUUUGACGAUUUACUCGAUGGAUCAUCAACUAAUAAUGCAGCAGAGUCGGCCUAUGAAGGAGGCUUAGUUUUAGAACACUGCUUAAAUGACAGCGCUGAAAUUCAAAAUAUGAAAAAACGUAAAAGCAACACUUUUAAUGAAAACUUCUUUGAGUGUGAGGACAAUUUAAAAUAUACGAGUAAAAAAAAACGUAGUUCACCCAAUAAAUGUGACAAAAGUGAUAGUGUUAAUUUAUGGGAUCAAACGACAUUUCAAAUUAACUUAAAGGGUGUUACUACAGAGAAAGGAAAUGAGGAUAUAAGUGAAUUUCAAACACCUCCUCAACGCUGUGACCUUUGCAGUAUGGAAUUAACAGACUCCGAUACACUUAUAGAACAUAUAAAAACUGCUCAUACUAUCCAAGAUGUUAGUCAUCAAAAUGAAACCUUGUUAGAAUCCCAGAAAGACUCAGAGUCUCACACUACCAGUGCAAUUGAAAAGUAUCCGAGUCUCUGGAAAAUUUUUCAACUGAAGCAUAGAGUAUCAUUUGAUAUUUCAUCGGAUUGUCUUAGUGAACGUGACGAAUUCGCCUACCUAAAACCAGUAAAGUGUCCAAAUUGCUCAGUAGGAUUUACAACAAAGACAGAACUAUUUGUUCAUCUGAAAUUGAAGCACUCGGAAAUAUCAACGUUUAUAUGUGGAAUUUGUCUAAAUAUCAGCAGUUCUGCAGGAGCUUUAAAAGAUCACGUUUCGGAGUGUCGUCAAAAAACUCCCGCUACGCAUAGAUAUUUCUGCCAAAUAUGUUAUUUUGGCGAUGACAAUCACCGCAGCAUGGAAAGUCACGUUUUGGUUCAUAAUUUUUUGUGGAAAGACUGCCAGAGAGAGAUUCGAAAUUUUGAUCCAGAAGAUUAUAUCCAAUUGAAUCCAAAUUUCAUUGCCACUUCAGCUUCUCCAAUCAAAUAUUUCUCUUGUCUGGAAUGUUACUCAGUUAAAUUUGAUUCUUUUAGAAAGUUUUCGGAGCAUAGAAGAGAGUUUCAUUCGGUAUUUCAUUGUGAUUUGUGCAAUAAGUUUUAUAGCAGAAAUGCAUCACUACGGAAGCACGCCAAUACCGCGCAUAAGGGUCAUCCAAGUAUCACCUGUCAGAUUUGUAUGAAAACAAAGGCUUCCAAGUAUCAUUUGGCUCAACACUUUGCUGACAUACAUCAGCUUGAUAACACUAAAAUACCGGGUUUACAGAAUGUUCAAUAUGAAAAUCACGAUGUAGCUAAGGAGAAUAUUGCUAUAGCUGAAAUUGAGCCGCAGCUCUUAAGAGAUUCUGCAAAACAGGAUUUAAUGGAGAAAACGACCAAAAACUCAUUUGAACAAAACCAAUCCAAAGAACUCGAUGCCGAUCAUGAUGAUGAAAAUAACGUUCCGUUAACAAAUCACUCUUCGCAGAAAAUAGAAGAAUUUAAAUGUCCUCACUGCUCUAAAGGCUUCCAUAAUAAAUUGGCAAUGGUAAAACACGAGACAACAUGCGAGUUGAGGAAUCAAAAAGCUCCGACGUGCAAUAUUUGUUCGAAGAUUUUUAAAAAUAAAGAUACCCUUUUGAAGCAUCAUACCAGAUGCCAUUCAGAGUAUGAAUGCGAGAUCUGUAAUAAAAAGAUUACUGGUAAAUGUGAAAUUAUUAGACAUAUAAGGUUUCAACAUCCAUCAAGCUAUCUAGAAUGUAAACUAUGUAAAUCUAUUUUAAGAAAUAAAAAGGACCUUUUGCAUCAUUUGGAGGACCACGAAAACUCUUUUAUUUGCCAGUUUUGUGGAGAUUGUCUUACCAGUAAAAUAAAAAUCAGAAUGCAUAUUCUAGGUUUGCAUGGAAAAAUAUUGAGCUUAAGCUGUAGUAUUUGUUUAAAGAUGUUUGAUACCCAGCAAGUUCUGCGUGAUCAUGUUAACUUAACACACAAGGAUCGAGUAACAUCAAAAUGUUCGUGUCCAGUGUGUGGGAAAAACUAUUGCUCCAAGUGGACGACGUUUGAUCAUAUCAAUAGAACUCACGGCGAAGUUUUUAAAGCGUGUAAGAUAUGCUUGGACCUAUUCGAGUCUGAACCAGAACUUCACAAUCAUUUGCAAUUGACUCACAAUAUUCAAUCAAUGGAGACAAACAUCAGUGCUCCUACAAAAACUGCAGGUAUUGUAGCAAAUCAGGUAAAAUGCCAAAAAACGAGCAAAGGUGAGCAGAGUGAUUAUCAACAUGACAACGGUAGCGAAGAACAACAUGACGAACAUAUUUUAGAGAUCCGAUGCACUGAAAAUGAAGGCCCAAAAAAUAUGAAGGAUUCAGCUAGUUCCACCAAAGUAAAUAAGGAAAUAGGUAAAACGAAAGCAAAGAAAAGAAAGGUUUACGAUAAUAACGAUGUUCCUGGUACCUGUGAGUUCUGCCACAAGACUUGUCCUUCGAGAAAACACUUAUGGCAACACUGUCUCAGGUAUCACAAAGAGGGCGCCGCGACCGUUUGCGGAAUAUGCUUGAAAUCAAUGCCGAAUUAUGAAGAAUUACAGAUGCAUUUGCGAGAGGAGCAUCCCUUACUGCUAUACGGCCAGGGUUGUGGAUCUAAGUUCAUAUGCCAAAUUUGUGGAAGAUAUCACAACUCAAGCAGCAAGUUAGAGAAGCAUAUGAUAGUACAUGAAAAAUUCGAUUGGAAAAUUAUGGAUCGGUUCCCACCGCUCCCAAAAUUCAAUUAUAACAAAAAUCAGAUGGCUAAAAUCAGAGAUGCCUGUUCCCAGUUGCAAGCUCCUGACAAGGAGCAAAAAGGAGUAGAACAUUUAGAGGCCAUUGAAGACAUCAAUGAAGCUUUAAUCGAACAAGUAACAGAAUCAAGCUGCGAAUCUGAGAUCGAGAGCUAAGUCCCGUCAAUAUUCCGACUUAAACUAAUCCACUGGCGGUGUGAGCUCCUUAUAUAUUCGCCAGACCAGGGCUCAGAAAGAUUCACCUACCUUCCACCGUCUCCAGAGAUGUCGCGCGGUAUGAUUCCGGAAUAACAAAGAACAACUGAUAUUCGUGCAAUUAUAUUCAAAUGAAUAAGUUCAUUUGAGUCUUCCGCUGCUAGAUUUUCGUUAUACCACACCACAGAUACAUCAAUUGGAAAUUAAGUGAUUUCUACUUUGGAUUAUCAGAGUUUUUACAUGUAUAGCAAUUAAUCUUGUGAUAAUUCGAAUUACUUUUAGAAUUUACAUUUCAGCGUUAAACUGCGAUUUAUAUUAAUUUAUUUUGUUAUUAUUUUUAAUGUUAAGUGAUGAACAAGAAUAUACAACCAUUUUUCAAUUAAAUCUAAAAAUGAAAACAGCUCUGUUGUUAUAUUUUGUUCACCAUGGUAACUUAAUAUUUGUUGUGAUUAGUUUAUGAUUAUCACAUAGUUUAGUUUCGCAUUUAUUUUAAUAAAUGUGUUUUUCGAUG
Molecule: unclassified non-coding RNA, 4232 nt
Filed under: Anthonomus grandis grandis
Lineage: Eukaryota; Metazoa; Arthropoda; Insecta; Coleoptera; Curculionidae
Description: zinc finger protein 26-like
Source: RNAcentral